ACACGUGAUUCAGAGUUUGAUCCUGGCUCAGAGUGAACGCUGGCGGUAGGCCUAACACAUGCAAGUCGAGCGGCAGCACAGUAAGAGCUUGCUCUUAUGGGUGGCGAGUGGCGGACGGGUGAGGAAUACAUCGGAAUCUACCUUUUCGUGGGGGAUAACGUAGGGAAACUUACGCUAAUACCGCAUACGACCUUCGGGUGAAAGCAGGGGACCUUCGGGCCUUGCGCGGAUAGAUGAGCCGAUGUCGGAUUAGCUAGUUGGCGGGGUAAAGGCCCACCAAGGCGACGAUGCAUAGCCGACCUGAGAGGGUGAUCGGCCACACUGGGACUGAGACACGGCCCAG
Molecule: ribosomal RNA, 343 nt
Filed under: uncultured bacterium
Lineage: Bacteria
Description: bacterial SSU rRNA
Rfam family: Bacterial small subunit ribosomal RNA
Source: RNAcentral